RNAcentral lists this ribosomal RNA (155 nucleotides) under Dysgonomonas sp. enrichment culture clone SMEC1. Its description in RNAcentral is "partial 16S ribosomal RNA". It matches the Rfam family "Bacterial small subunit ribosomal RNA", at positions 340 to 491 of the family's 1533-position model. Lineage: Bacteria; Pseudomonadati; Bacteroidota; Bacteroidia; Bacteroidales; Dysgonomonadaceae. The record is from RNAcentral.
UACGGGAGGCAGCAGUGAGGAAUAUUGGUCAAUGGACGAGAGUCCUGAACCAGCCAAAUUCGCGUGAAGGAAGACUGCCCUACGAGGUUGUAAACUUCUUUUGUACAGGAAUAAAAGACAUUACGUGUAAUGUAUGCAUGUACUUACGCUAACCC